UUCUGUGUGCACGAUGAAGUUUUUCGGAAUGUAAAGUGCUUUCAGUUGGGAAGAAGAAAGUGACGGUACCAACAGAAGAAGCGACGGCUAAAUACGUGCCAGCAGCCGCGGUAAUACGUAUGUCGCAAGCGUUAUCCGGAUUUAUUGGGCGUAAAGCGCGUCUAGGCGGUUUGGUAAGUCUGAUGUGAAAAUGCGGGGCUCAACUCCGUAUUGCGUUGGAAACUGCCAAACUAGAGUACUGGAGAGGUAGGCGGAACUACAAGUGUAGAGGUGAAAUUCGUAGAUAUUUGUAGGAAUGCCGAUGGGGAAGCCAGCCUACUGGACAGAUACUGACGCUAAAGCGCGAAAGCGUGGGUA
RNAcentral lists this ribosomal RNA (357 nucleotides) under uncultured bacterium. RNAcentral describes it as "bacterial SSU rRNA". It matches the Rfam family "Bacterial small subunit ribosomal RNA", at positions 395 to 767 of the family's 1533-position model. The record is from RNAcentral.